RNAcentral lists this ribosomal RNA (1362 nucleotides) under Triticum aestivum (bread wheat). Its description in RNAcentral is "partial small subunit ribosomal RNA". The record is from RNAcentral. Lineage: Eukaryota; Viridiplantae; Streptophyta; Magnoliopsida; Poales; Poaceae.
GAGGGGCGGAGGAAGCGGGAGGCGGCGGUGGUGGUGGUGCUGGAGUGCGUGGCGGGGAGCUCCAAGGCGGAGGAGUGGGGCGGCGGCGGCGCCGUGGUGCAGGAGGGCGACGUGGUGGAGUCGGUCCGGGUCGGGCUGGGCUCCGGCGCGGCCUCCCUGGACGCGCCCUUCAAGGGCGGCCGGGCCGGGCUCCACAAGGCGCUGCACAAGGCGUUCAAGCGCGGCGACACCUCCGUGGAGGUGCGCGUCCGCGGCGGCAAGGACCUGCAGGCCUGCAUCCUGCCGCACCCCGGCGGCGCCAGCGCCCGCAAGCAGUACGUGCUCCGCUCCCUCCACGACCCCAACUACGUGCUCGGCUUCGGCGAUCGCCUCGAGAGCGACUGCCUCGUCCUCCAAGGCACAAGAGGCACAAGAGUUGCAUCGGCGCUGAGCCGGGCGCAGCUUCAGGACGGGUACGUCACGUAUCCAUGGGACAAGAAGAUGCGCGACUCGCUGCGCACGCCCAACUCGAGCUGCUUCCUCUCGAUGCUUGUCCUCCCCAAGGCGCUGGACCUCAACGCGUGCCGGUACGAGUCCUUCGAGGACACGUUGGCUCGUGCCAACACAUGGCUCUACUCGUCGCAGGACUCGGGGAUCCCCAUCGAGUUCAUGAAUCUGCAGAGCGAAGCUCUUCUCACCAAGAUAUCUGGGGAGACGGCGUCUGCGACUGUCAACUCCGGGUCGUUGUCCGACAUGUCGAACCUCGUGAACGCGACGCUCUACGGUUUCGAGGAUUACCACGGGGUGGACAUCGGCGUCGUGAAGGCGGCCCGGCUUUGGUACAGCUCCACGGCGGGAGAAAUGCCGCUAGAGAUCCAGCUUCAAGAAGGUGACACCAGGCUAGGAUUCGCCGUGAGCCGUACUGAAGAGGGUUUCAUCUACAUAUCUUCGGUGGUCGACGACGACGAGGACAGCGAGGCGCCGUCGACGCGGUCCGGGCUCCGCGAUCUGUUCAACCGGGCGAAAGUGGCAUCCAAGCUGUUGAUCAUAUCAAGGGUGUCCAACGAGAAGGUCCUCCCCUGGAUGAUCUCCAGCUCAGGCGCGGUCCGUUGCUUCGACACCAUCUCCCUCAGCCAGAAGCUCUCCCUGCACCGCCUCGCGCUGCAGCCCAUCCAGCUACACCUGCUCAUGUGGGAGAAGCCCGUCGGUGUCGCGGCGCAGAGCGUCGUUCUUUCUCCGAAAAUGCCCUUCCCGCUGUCGUUGCCUCCUCAGGUACCCCUAAGCAUCAUCGAGAGCCCUGAACAUAGAGUAGAUGCUGAGGAAGGAUUUGUGUUGGAUUCGUCGUUUCGGCUCGAUGAUUCUCCGGUCAGCAACUGGGUGUGA